RNAcentral lists this ribosomal RNA (463 nucleotides) under uncultured bacterium. RNAcentral's name for it is "partial 16S ribosomal RNA". It matches the Rfam family "Bacterial small subunit ribosomal RNA", at positions 339 to 795 of the family's 1533-position model. The record is from RNAcentral.
CUACGGGUUGCUGCAGUGAGGAAUUUUGCGCAAUGGGGGGAACCCUGACGCAGCAACGCCGCGUGAGUGAUGAAGGCUUUCGGGUCGUAAAGCUCUGUCAAGUGGGAAGAACCUAUGCAGUGUUAAUAUCACUGUAUACUGACGGUACCACUGAAGGAAGCACCGGCUAGCUCCGUGCCAGCAGCCGCGGUAAUACGGGGGGUGCAAGCGUUAUUCGGAAUCAUUGGGCGUAAAGGCACGGAGGCGCCUUGGUAAGCAGAUGUGAAAGCCCGGGGCUUAACCCCGGAAGUGCAUUUGAUACUGUCAGGCUUGAGUAUGGGAGAGGGAAGUGGAAUUCCUGGUGUAGAGGUGAAAUUCGUAGAUAUCAGGAGGAACACCGGUGGCGAAGGCGACUUCCUGGACCAAUACUGACGCUGAGGUGCGAAGGCGUGGGUAGCAAACAGGAUUAGAUACCCGCGUAGUC